CAGUCGCCGCGGUAAUACAGAGGGUGCAAGCGUUAAUCGGAUUUACUGGGCGUAAAGGGCGCGUAGGUGGUUAUGUAAGUGAGAUGUGAAAUCCCCGGGCUCAACCUGGGAACUGCAUCUUAUACAGCGUAGCUGGAGUGCAGUAGAGGGUAGUGGAAUUUCCGGUGUAGCGGUGAAAUGCGUAGAUAUCGGAAGGAACACCAGUGGCGAAGGCGGCUACCUGGACUGACACUGACACUGAGGCGCGAAAGCGUGGGGAGCAAACAGGAUUAGAGACCCGAGUAGUCCCUGUCUCUUAUAC
This 301-nucleotide ribosomal RNA is filed under the name uncultured bacterium. RNAcentral's name for it is "partial 16S ribosomal RNA". It matches the Rfam family "Bacterial small subunit ribosomal RNA", at positions 509 to 807 of the family's 1533-position model. The record is from RNAcentral.